This is a long non-coding RNA of Trichechus manatus latirostris (Florida manatee), 1307 nucleotides long. RefSeq lists it as uncharacterized. NCBI's taxonomy places the organism in Eukaryota, Metazoa, Chordata, Mammalia, Sirenia, Trichechidae. The transcript is spliced from 2 exons. The record is from RefSeq and is a predicted model, not a curated record.
CUGCACCCUUCACUGUCCACCGCUCAGACUCUGAACAGGAUCUGUUGCCCACUCUUGGGUUUGAUAUUUACAUUUCUGGCUUUUAUUUCUGCCCCUCACCCAUAUCAGCACGGUGAUGGACCCCAGUGGUAACUUCUGCUCCUGAGUGUGAGGGAAAAUUUCUCAAGAACAGUUCUUGUGGCACCACCUUGAACAGACCUCCAACUUAGUCACUAUCAUCAGUUACCCAGCUGCCUUGGGCAUUUUUUUUAGGAUCCCAAGGGAAGGAUAUUUAUUUCUCCACUUUCAUCACUACAGAUUCCUUGGUAACAAGGAAGAACUCAAUUUUGUAAUUAAAAUAAAAGAGAAGUAACCCAACAAAACCAACUAACCAAACCAAACCAAAGACCUGAAGUAACCCACACGUCUCUCCUAGGGUGAAGCUGAUGACUUAAGGAUAAGACCAAGUAAGUGUACAAAUGACAGAAGACAUCAGAUUAAUUGAAAUGUUUUCAUCCUCCUUGCAAUGUCUCUUAAAAAGCAAAGACUGCGAACUCAUGCUGCCCCACCUACUGGCCAGCCAAACCGGGUAGCAUACUGGAGCAAAAGAGGAGGUCAUAGGCCCAACUGUCUGGUUACCCUGCUUAAUACAGGCCAUCUACUCCUUGUCUUCCUGCAAACCACACAGCAGCAUAUCGCAAACAAUCCCUCCUCCGGAGUUGCAGUCCAAUCAUCAGCCUAUGAGAAAAACUACUUCACGUGAAACUUUCCUUUGCCCAUUUUAAGGUCAGCUUAAGGAGCCCUGGUGACCCAGUGGUUAAAGUGAUCGACUGCUAACUGUAAGGUUGGGGGUUCAAAACCACCAGCUCCGUGGAAGAAAGAUGUGGCAAUCUGCUUCCAUAAAGAUUUACAGCCUUGGAAACUCUAUGGGGCAGUUCUCCUCUGUCCUAUAGUGUUGCUGUGAAUUGACUGGAGGCAGUGGAUUGCUUACUCGUAUGGCCCAGCAGGGUGGCACAGGAGAACCUGGACACAUUCAGAAUGCUCAUCAGUUCGGAGUGUGUACGCAGUAAUUUUGAUAUCUGUUGCCUCAAAUACCUCCUCAGUCAUUGUGGAUACAUUUUCCCAUUGCAGACGACCAAGGCCACAUUCAAUCCUGGUACCUGUCUUCCAAGAUGUUGAACAUUUUUGAUCUACAACAUUCCUGGGCAUGGAGAGGUCCUUGACUGCAUUCUCCAGGCAAUGGGAUUUCAUGACCUGUAAAUUCUUCUGUUUUCAACAGGACACAAUCUUCGGGUUGGAACCUAUGAAGGAGAAUGUCAGAAGGGAAA